This is a long non-coding RNA of Sinocyclocheilus anshuiensis, 656 nucleotides long. RefSeq lists it as uncharacterized. The transcript is spliced from 2 exons. Lineage: Eukaryota; Metazoa; Chordata; Actinopteri; Cypriniformes; Cyprinidae. The record is from RefSeq and is a predicted model, not a curated record.
CAGGUCCCGUUUAGCCACUUUGAAUGAGAAGCUUACUGCUUUGGAGAGGAGGAUUGAGUACAUUGAAGCCAGAGUCACAAAAGGGGAAACCUUGACUUAGACGUUGCCCUGGGUCGACGCCAAAGUCAAGAUGAUGGCUACGAACACUCACCUCCUGUCUUUUUCAUUUACUUUAAUUAUUCAAACAAAAUUUCUAUUGGUUGGCUGUGGUAGAUCAGUUCAUUUCUGUAUGGGACCAUUGUGAUGAAGUCUUUGCUAUAAGCAGAUAUGUGUUUGCCUCAUUUCAUGCCUGAUAAUGGCUGAGGUUAUACUGUAUCUGGUCCUUUAUUUUUUUUGAUCUGUCAGGCAAUCUGUUACUGUCUCUGUGGUGCUUGCUCAUGCAAACAGGCCAGUGUCGUAUAUCAUUUGGUUCUGAUCUGCUAUUAAACAACUGUUGAACUCUCCAUGCAAUAUAUUAACGGUCAUGCAAAUAUAGACUGAAAAUACCAUGGAUAAACAGACCAUAUGCCUUGUUUCUUUUAAUUAAUAGCUAAUAAUUGUUUGAUUUGUGAUUUGCCCUCCUGUGUUUUACAAGUCUGUCCUUUUGUUAAAUUACAAAAAUUUGUGUUUGAAAUACAUUGCUGCCUGCUGUACAUUUAUCAUGCAACAAACAUCUG